This 253-nucleotide ribosomal RNA is filed under the name uncultured bacterium. Its description in RNAcentral is "partial 16S ribosomal RNA". It matches the Rfam family "Archaeal small subunit ribosomal RNA", at positions 474 to 727 of the family's 1478-position model. The record is from RNAcentral.
UACCCUCAGCUCAAGUGGUGGUCAUUAUUAUUGGGCCUAAAGCGUCCGUAGCUGGCUUGUUAGAUGCCUGGGUAAAUCGAUGCGCUUAACGCAUCGAAUUCCGGGUAGACCGGCAAGCUCGAGACCGGGAGAGGCGUGAGCUACUCGAGGGGUAGGGGUAAAAUCCUGUAAUCCUUCGGGGAGGACCAGUGGCGAAGGCGUCACGCUAGAACGGCUCUGACAGUGAGGGACGAAGCCCUGGGGCGCAAACCGG